This 731-nucleotide ribosomal RNA is filed under the name uncultured eukaryote. RNAcentral describes it as "SSU rRNA". It matches the Rfam family "Eukaryotic small subunit ribosomal RNA", at positions 671 to 1426 of the family's 1831-position model. The record is from RNAcentral.
CGGGUGCACUGAUCCAGCCCGGGCCCUCUCCCUCUGUGGAACCCCCAUGGCCUUCACUGGGUGUGGCGGGGAAACAGGACUUUACUUUGAAAAAAUUAGAGUGCUCCAGGCAGGCCUAUGCUCGAAUACAUUAGCAUGGAAUAAUAGAAUAGGACGUGUGGUUCUAUUUUGUUGGUUUCUAGGACCGCCGUAAUGAUUAAUAGGGACAGUCGGGGGCAUCAGUAUUCAAUUGUCAGAGGUGAAAUUCUUGGAUCUAUUGAAGACUAACUACUGCGAAAGCAUUUGCCAAGGAUGUUUUCAUUGAUAAGGAACGAAAGUUAGGGGAUCGAAGACGAUCAGAUACCGUCGUAGUCUUAACUAUAAACUAUGCCGACUAGGGAUCGGACGAUGUUAUUCUUUGACGCGUUCGGCACCUUUCGAGAAAUCAAAGUGCUUGGGCUCCAGGGGGAGUAUGGUCGCAAGGCUGAAACUUAAAGAAAUUGACGGAAGGGCACCACCAGGGGUGGAACCUGCGGCUUAAUUUGACUCAACACGGGGAAACUCACCAGGUCCAGACACAGUGAGGAUUGACAGAUUGAGAGCUCUUUCUUGAUUCUGUGGGUGGUGGUGCAUGGCCGUUCUUAGUUGGUGGAGUGAUUUGUCUGCUUAAUUGCGAUAACGAACGAGACCUUAACCUCCUAAAUAGCCCGUACUGCUUUGGCAGUUCGCCGGCUUCUUAGAGGGACUAUCGG